GAUGAACGCUGGCGGCGUGCCUAAUACAUGCAAGUCGAACGCUUUGUCUUUAAUUGAUUUGAAGAGCUUGCUCUGAUUUGAUUUUAUCUGACAAAGAGUGGCGAACGGGUGAGUAACACGUGGGUAACCUACCUCUUAGCAGGGGAUAACAUUUGGAAACAAGUGCUAAUACCGUAUAACACUAACAACCGCAUGGUUGUUAGUUGAAAGAUGGUUCUGCUAUCACUAAGAGAUGGACCCGCGGUGCAUUAGCUAGUUGGUAAGGUAAUGGCUUACCAAGGCGAUGAUGCGUAGCUGAGUUGAGAGACUGAUCGGCCACAAUGGGACUGAGACACGGCCCAUACUCCUACGGGAGGCAGCAGUAGGGAAUAUUCGACAAUGGGCGCAAGCCUGAUGGAGCAACGCCGCGUGUGUGAUGAAGGGUUUCGGCUCGUAAAACACUGUUAUAAGGGAAGAACGACAUUGAGAGUAACUGUUCAGUGUGUGACGGUAUCUUAUCAGAAAGGAACGGCUAACUACGUG
RNAcentral lists this ribosomal RNA (522 nucleotides) under uncultured bacterium. Its description in RNAcentral is "partial 16S ribosomal RNA". It matches the Rfam family "Bacterial small subunit ribosomal RNA", at positions 28 to 507 of the family's 1533-position model. The record is from RNAcentral.